GAUGAACGCUGGCGGCGUGCCUAAUACAUGCAAGUCGAGCGAACAGAUGAGGAGCUUGCUCCUCUGACGUUAGCGGCGGACGGGUGAGUAACACGUGGAUAACCUACCUAUAAGACUGGGAUAACUUCGGGAAACCGGAGCUAAUACCGGAUAAUAUAUUGAACCGCAUGGUUCAAUAGUGAAAGACGGUUUUGCUGUCACUUAUAAAUGGAUCCGCGCCGCAUUAGCUAGUUGGUAAGGUAACGGCUUACCAAGGCAACGAUGCGUAGCCGACCUGAGAGGGUGAUCGGCCACACUGGAACUGAGACACGGUCCAGACUCCUACGGGAGGCAGCAGUAGGGAAUCUUCCGCAAUGGGCGAAAGCUUGACGGAGCAACGCCGCGUGAGUGAUGAAGGUCUUCGGAUCGUAAAACUCUGUUAUUAGGGAAGAACAAAUGUGUAAGUAACUAUGCACGUCUUGACGGUACCUAAUCAGAAAGCCACGGCUAACUACGUG
Molecule: ribosomal RNA, 497 nt
Filed under: uncultured bacterium
Lineage: Bacteria
Description: partial 16S ribosomal RNA
Rfam family: Bacterial small subunit ribosomal RNA
Source: RNAcentral